UGAAGGCACCUCGGCCCUUUCCGCCUGCUGCUCCAUGGACUCACUUCUGCUUUUCGGUCAGGUUCCUGCAACUGAUUUUUCAAUCAAAUCUAGACCAAAGAUUCUAGAAAGAGGAGGCUACCUUUGGAUUUUUCACUUUUUGCUUUCUUUCAGAAUCCUGGGGCCUUUUUGUGGCUCGAACCCAUCUCCUGACAGGAGUUUCUAUAACUGAAAUGUGGUGGAUUUUCCCUCUUUUUCUUUCCGGCUCCUUAACACUCAGCUCCCCUGGUGCCUCUAAGACAGAGCUGGGUGAUGUUGAGAGGGGCUUCCUGGCUGAGCGUGGGAGCCUCAGGCCAGGUGCCCACAGCGCCAUGUGGAGCCGAUUGAGGGGCUGCUGGAGCAAGUAUGGGGCUCUGAAAGCAAGACCCACAGGAGGAGAGGGAGUGAGGUGUGAGAGCUGAGAGAUGUCCGUGGACCAGGAGGCAAAACCCUGGAAGAAGGAAGGCUUUUGUCUUAGAGGAUGAUCAGGCCCUUACACUCAUGGAGAAUCCAGGGCUUUGCAGGGGAUGUGCAUGGCAAGGCCUGGAGCGAGGAGUCCCUCUGCAGCAUAUCUCAGUUUGGAAGCCACAUUUCAAGUGUUCAGUGGCCACCGGUGGCCAGCAGCUGCCUUAGCAGACAGAGCGGGAUUGGAUGGACAGCAGGUCAGAGCCUAGGAGCAGGCGAAUUUCAGGCUCCUCCCCAGUUCACUGCUUGAACUCUUUGUAGAAUGGAAAUUGAGCCAUUUCGGGUCUUAGGAGACAAGGAGACCUCACAGACCUCUGGUUCUGGGGUGAUCAUGUGAGUUACUUGUAUGUAAUAGAGUUUUCAUUCUUGGGAGCUGCCAGAUGCCAGGCACUUGCCUAGUUCUCCUAAACUCUCACAAAAGCCCCCAGGACAGUUAUGAUUAAUGUCUGUGAGUAAAUUGAGCUGUGAUUGGA
Capra hircus (goat) is the source of this 956-nucleotide RNA transcript. RefSeq lists it as uncharacterized. The record is from RefSeq and is a predicted model, not a curated record. NCBI's taxonomy places the organism in Eukaryota, Metazoa, Chordata, Mammalia, Artiodactyla, Bovidae. The transcript has 3 exons.